UUGUUACAUUGAGACUGCCGUGAU
RNAcentral lists this unclassified non-coding RNA (24 nucleotides) under Mus musculus (house mouse). RNAcentral describes it as "oocyte_clustered_small_RNA8478". The record is from RNAcentral. Lineage: Eukaryota; Metazoa; Chordata; Mammalia; Rodentia; Muridae.